This 112-nucleotide ribosomal RNA is filed under the name Caerostris darwini. Lineage: Eukaryota; Metazoa; Arthropoda; Arachnida; Araneae; Araneidae. The record is from RNAcentral.
AACGGCCGUACCAUGCUGAAUAUACCGGUUCUCGUUAGAUCACCGAAGUCAAGCAUCGUUGGGCGCGGUCAGUACUUGGGUGGGUGACCACCUGGGAACACCGCGUGCCGUU